This 1419-nucleotide ribosomal RNA is filed under the name uncultured organism. RNAcentral's name for it is "16S ribosomal RNA". It matches the Rfam family "Bacterial small subunit ribosomal RNA". The record is from RNAcentral.
ACGCUGGCGGCGUGGAUAAGACAUGCAAGUCGAACGAGAGAAUUGCUAGCUUGCUAAUAAUUCUCUAGUGGCGCACGGGUGAGUAACACGUGAGUAACCUGCCCCCGAGAGCGGGAUAGCCCUGGGAAACUGGGAUUAAUACCGCAUAGUAUCGAAAGAUUAAAGCAGCAAUGCGCUUGGGGAUGGGCUCGCGGCCUAUUAGUUAGUUGGUGAGGUAACGGCUCACCAAGGCGAUGACGGGUAGCCGGUCUGAGAGGAUGUCCGGCCACACUGGAACUGAGACACGGUCCAAACACCUACGGGUGGCAGCAGUCGAGAAUCAUUCACAAUGGGGGAGACCCUGAUGGUGCGACGCCGCGUGGGGGAAUGAAGGUCUUCGGAUUGUAAACCCCUGUCAUGUGGGAGCAAAUUAAAAAGAUAGUACCACAAGAGGAAGAGACGGCUAACUCUGUGCCAGCAGCCGCGGUAAUACAGAGGUCUCAAGCGUUGUUCGGAAUCACUGGGCGUAAAGCGUGCGUAGGCUGUUUCGUAAGUCGUGUGUGAAAGGCGCGGGCUCAACCCGCGGACGGCACAUGAUACUGCGAGACUAGAGUAAUGGAGGGGGAACCGGAAUUCUCGGUGUAGCAGUGAAAUGCGUAGAUAUCGAGAGGAACACUCGUGGCGAAGGCGGGUUCCUGGACAUUAACUGACGCUGAGGCACGAAGGCCAGGGGAGCGAAAGGGAUUAGAUACCCCUGUAGUCCUGGCAGUAAACGGUGCACGCUUGGUGUGCGGGGAAUCGACCCCCUGCGUGCCGGAGCUAACGCGUUAAGCGUGCCGCCUGGGGAGUACGGUCGCAAGAUUAAAACUCAAAGAAAUUGACGGGGACCCGCACAAGCGGUGGAGUAUGUGGCUUAAUUCGAUGCAACGCGAAGAACCUUACCUGGGCUUGACAUGUAAUGAACAACAUGUGAAAGCAUGCGACUCUUCGGAGGCGUUACACAGGUGCUGCAUGGCCGUCGUCAGCUCGUGUCGUGAGAUGUUUGGUUAAGUCCAGCAACGAGCGCAACCCCUGUUGCCAGUUACCAGCACGUGAAGGUGGGGACUCUGGCGAGACUGCCCAGAUCAACUGGGAGGAAGGUGGGGACGACGUCAGGUCAGUAUGGCCCUUAUGCCCAGGGCUGCACACGUACUACAAUGCCCAGUACAGAGGGGGCCGAAGCCGCGAGGCGGAGGAAAUCCUGAAAACUGGGCCCAGUUCGGACUGUAGGCUGCAACCCGCCUACACGAAGCCGGAAUCGCUAGUAAUGGCGCAUCAGCUACGGCGCCGUGAAUACGUUCCCGGGUCUUGUACACACCGCCCGUCACAUCAUGGAAGCCGGUCGCACCCGAAGUAUCUGAAGCCAACCGCAAGGAGGCAGGGUCCUAAGGUGAGACUGGU